GCCUGGCUGGCUCAGUCGGAAAAGCAUGUGACUCUUGAUCUCAUGGUCGUGAGUUCAAGCCCCAUGGUGGGUG
RNAcentral lists this transfer RNA (73 nucleotides) under Canis lupus familiaris (dog). It matches the Rfam family "tRNA". Rfam says of the family: Transfer RNA (tRNA) molecules are approximately 80 nucleotides in length. Their secondary structure includes four short double-helical elements and three loops (D, anti-codon, and T loops). Further hydrogen bonds mediate the characteristic L-shaped molecular structure. tRNAs have two regions of fundamental functional importance: the anti-codon, which is responsible for specific mRNA codon recognition, and the 3' end, to which the tRNAs corresponding amino acid is attached (by aminoacyl-tRNA synthetases). tRNAs cope with the degeneracy of the genetic code in two manners: having more than one tRNA (with a specific anti-codon) for a particular amino acid; and 'wobble' base-pairing, i.e. permitting non-standard base-pairing at the 3rd anti-codon position. The record is from Rfam by way of RNAcentral. RNAcentral also lists the same sequence under 2 other names. Lineage: Eukaryota; Metazoa; Chordata; Mammalia; Carnivora; Canidae.